UUAUUACAUGCAGCUAUAUAUGAGAACCGGUUUUUAGAAUCAAUUGGCUGCAGUUACAUUUAAAUCCCAGGUAUUUUAUUCUCUUGCUUCUUUUGUUUUUAUUUUUACUCAUUUUUUGUAAUUUUAUUCAGAUACAUUGAAUCGAAUUCUCUAUCAGAUAUGUUAUCUGGUGAAGAAUAUGCAACACCCCUUUUUAACUUUUAAAAUUUUAAUUUCGGAUUGAAAAAACAAACGGUCACUUUAACCUUAUUUUCUUCAAAGAAAAGUAGUUAGAUGAGACUUAAUUGCUUGAGAUGGUGUUAAAUUUUCAGGGAUUUUGCUCCAGUUAAGUUCUUCUUUAAUUAAAGUCUUAGUCAGAGCCAAGGAAUGUGAGUUGUUGAAUUUAGUUUCUUUUCUAUUAGCAAAUAGGGACACUCUGGUGCAAUUAAAAUAUUAAGGUAGAUUAAUCAUUUUACAGGUUUUUCCUCCGCAAGUAGAAAUUUUCAUCAAGUAUGACUUGGUUCUUGAGUAAUUCACAUCUAAUGUUGAUGUGUAAAAUAUGAACAGAGGUGAUAUUUUGUAGAAAACUUAAUUGGUACUUAGAAUCUGCAUAAGCGGAAAUUUUGAUCAUGAUGCUCUCAGUUUUUGUAUCAUUUCAAGUUUACAAUUCUCAACUACCUUACCAAGGCUCGUCUUGUAAGCAUUAACUAUGAAAUGAUCCUUCAUUAUUUCACCAUCCUUAGCUUUUUCAAAAUGUAUAAAGUUAGGCAAAAGCCAUUGAUUAUCUUCAUGAGAAGGUGUUUAUUCAUAAAAUAAUAGCAUAGAAAGAGUGUUUUUUUUAUUUAAAAAAAAGCAUAGAAGGAGUUGGAUUUAACUGAAGUUACAUUUUUUGGCCACAAGAAUAUUGAAGAAAUCACAUUAAUCAUGAUGUUAUUGAUGAGUAAAGUCUUCCCUGAUGAACAGUUGAUAAAUGAACAAUACAUCCUUCGGAAAUUGAGGUUUCUUUAGGGCACAGCAGUGGUGAAUGUGCAGUGUCAAAGCAGCAUGAGAUACAUUGUGUGUGACUGGCUUCAAUUGUUAACUCAAAAGACGAAUAUUUCUAGUCUCAAGAGCACUUUUAUGCAACCAGCCAGAGAUACAGAGAAGAAGCUGUCCAAAUGACGAGUCUUUUUCAUAAGCAUAAAAGGCAAGAGGAUAGUGCCAGAUCCAAACAUAGUUUUAAAAGCUUACAGAAUUACUGGUUGCACCAAGUAGGGAGAUGAUGCAUCAUAAUCAUUCAGUAGUGGUCUAGCCUUAGCAGCGAAAGCAGUUCAGCCAGCAUUCCCCACUUAUCCGACUGUUGCUGAAAGCUGGGCAAACUUUUACUGAACCGACUAUUAUUGAAUCGGUUGCUGCUCCUACGAGGACUCUAUUCUUUAUCUUUCCAAUGAAAAGCACAACAGUACACCAAUGUCUGAUUCUUAUGUCAUUUUCGUUAAUAUGCAGAACAGGUUUUGCUACUCAUCCUAGCUUUCCUGGGAAUACAGAAUCCUGAGGCAAAAGCAUGGACGGCAAAAUGUGGACUCUGCAGCUGUAUUUUGUUGUACUGCCUUAUCUGACUUGUGGAUACAAAUAAUGGAUUUGGUAAGCCAUUGUUUAAUUUUAG
RNAcentral lists this long non-coding RNA (1624 nucleotides) under Citrus maxima (pomelo). RNAcentral's name for it is "long non-coding RNA (CMAX_LNC000356)". The record is from RNAcentral. Lineage: Eukaryota; Viridiplantae; Streptophyta; Magnoliopsida; Sapindales; Rutaceae.